GAAACAAACACAAACGUGCACGUUGCCAACGUGGACACUUUUCGCGGGAUGACUUUUGAACGUACCUGCGAGUGCGUGUUGGGUAGGUGUGUCGGCUGCCUCUGCGCUGCCGCCCUGCUGGAGGAAGAGGGCGGCUCCCUUCACCACGAAGAAGCUCUCCUUGAGGCUAACGACAACAACGACAACACAUAUCGGACGCGUCCACGUACCUCCCCCGCGCUGCUGCUCGAGGAUGCUGCACUCGGGCUGGGGCAGCGCUGCAGAGUCACCAGGGCCAUAGCUGGACGUGGACGUGGAGGAGGAGGAGGGGGAAGAUGCGGGAAGAUGCGCCGAGUUGCCCUCCGCUGUCACCGGGGAGAAAAUGCCGAGUCAGGCCGAGCGACGCGGCUCCUCCACCGGCGCUUCCUGCAGAAGCAGGACGAGGAGCACAGGCGUGAUAGUGACGCCGCUCGUGUCACUCGCGUGCGCAUGGAUGGCGAGAGACAAACAGAACGUAGGUGCGUGCGCGCCCGCGCUCGAGCGCGUGUGCGCGCGACAUGCAGCUUUGUGGAUGCCGCCUCUGAUUGGCUGGCCUGGUUCGCGUCUGCGCUGUCAUUGGGCCAAUGUUGUCAAGGUGACUGGACAGACUCAGACCACAACCGCCCCACUAAAAUGAAUCAUAAUCAUGAUAAUAAUAAUACUAAUAAACGAUGAUGACACUU
Syngnathus typhle (broad-nosed pipefish) is the source of this 701-nucleotide long non-coding RNA. RefSeq lists it as uncharacterized. The record is from RefSeq and is a predicted model, not a curated record. The transcript has 2 exons. NCBI's taxonomy places the organism in Eukaryota, Metazoa, Chordata, Actinopteri, Syngnathiformes, Syngnathidae.